Molecule: non-coding RNA, 391 nt
Organism: Danio rerio (zebrafish)
Lineage: Eukaryota; Metazoa; Chordata; Actinopteri; Cypriniformes; Danionidae
Source: Ensembl
GAAAAGAGAGACAGAAAAAGAAAAUGCCUGAUAAGUGUCAUGUGUGGUUACUGGGGCUGAUAAUUUUCUGUUCACUUCUCACAGGUACCAGUGGAGCAGAAGACACUUGUGUUCUUCAGUUUUGGAGAAAAAUGUCCAUCUGCCCUUAAUAAUACUCUUUCUGACUGCACAUCAACUACAUGGAUCAAUAGUAGAGUUUCAAAGACAAUUGAAUUGAUUGUUGGAGGAAAACUGAACAACAUGAGACAUGAAAGACUGAGUCUGGGCUCUGACUGCUCUCUGAACACCAAGAAAGCCACUAAUGAAGAUUAUGGAUCUUACAUCUGUGGACAAUAUGUGAAUAGAAAACAACACGGAACUGAUGCACAUGUUUAUCUGUCUUUUCAUAUUG